This 208-nucleotide ribosomal RNA is filed under the name uncultured bacterium. RNAcentral's name for it is "partial 16S ribosomal RNA". It matches the Rfam family "Bacterial small subunit ribosomal RNA", at positions 568 to 774 of the family's 1533-position model. The record is from RNAcentral.
CGCGUAGGCGGUCAGCACAAGUCAGUUGUGAAAUCUCCGGGCUUAACUCGGAAAGGUCAACUGAUACUGUGCGACUAGAGUGCGGAAGGGGCAACUGGAAUUCUCGGUGUAGCGGUGAAAUGCGUAGAUAUCGAGAGGAACACCUGCGGCGAAGGCGGGUUGCUGGGCCGACACUGACGCUGAUGCGCGAAAGCCAGGGGAGCGAACG